AGAGUUUGAUCCUGGCUCAGGACGAACGCUGGCGGCACGCUUAACACAUGCAAGUCGAACGAGAGAAGAGGAGCUUGCUUUUCUGAUCUAGUGGCGGACGGGUGAGUAACACGUGAGCAAUCUGCCUUUCAGAGGGGGAUACCGAUUGGAAACGAUCGUUAAUACCGCAUAACAUAAUUGAACCGCAUGAUUUGAUUAUCAAAGAUUUAUCGCUGAAAGAUGAGCUCGCGUCUGAUUAGCUAGUUGGUAAGGUAACGGCUUACCAAGGCGACGAUCAGUAGCCGGACUGAGAGGUUGAUCGGCCACAUUGGGACUGAGACACGGCCCAGACUCCUACGGGAGGCAGCAGUGGGGAAUAUUGCACAAUGGAGGAAACUCUGAUGCAGCGAUGCCGCGUGAGGGAAGAAGGUUUUAGGAUUGUAAACCUCUGUCUUCAGGGACGAAAAAAGACGGUACCUGAGGAGGAAGCUCCGGCUAACUACGUGCCAGCAGCCGCGGUAAUACGUAGGGAGCGAGCGUUGUCCGGAAUUACUGGGUGUAAAGGGAGCGUAGGCGGGAUCGCAAGUCAGAUGUGAAAACUAUGGGCUUAACUCAUAAACUGCAUUUGAAACUGUGGUUCUUGAGUGGAGUAGAGGUAAGCGGAAUUCCUAGUGUAGCGGUGAAAUGCGUAGAUAUUAGGAGGAACAUCAGUGGCGAAGGCGGCUUACUGGGCUUUAACUGACGCUGAGGCUCGAAAGCGUGGGGAGCAAACAGGAUUAGAUACCCUGGUAGUCCACGCCGUAAACGAUGAUUACUAGGUGUGGGGGGACUGACCCCUUCCGUGCCGCAGCAAACGCAAUAAGUAAUCCACCUGGGGAGUACGACCGCAAGGUUGAAACUCAAAGGAAUUGACGGGGGCCCGCACAAGCAGUGGAGUAUGUGGAUUAAUUCGAAGCAACGCGAAGAACCUUACCAGGUCUUGACAUCGUAUGCAUAGCUCAGAGAUGAGUGAAAUCUCUUCGGAGACAUAUAGACAGGUGGUGCAUGGUCGUCGUCAGCUCGUGUCGUGAGAUGUUGGGUUAAGUCCCGCAACGAGCGCAACCCUUACUGUUAGUUGCUACGCAAGAGCACUCUAGCAGGACUGCCGUUGACAAAACGGAGGAAGGUGGGGAUGACGUCAAAUCAUCAUGCCCCUUAUGACCUGGGCCUCACACGUACUACAAUGGCUGUCAACAGAGGGAAGCAAAGCCGCGAGGUGGAGCGAACCCCUAAAAGCAGUCUUAGUUCGGAUUGUAGGCUGCAACCCGCCUACAUGAAGUCGGAAUUGCUAGUAAUCGCAGAUCAGCAUGCUGCGGUGAAUACGUUCCCGGGCCUUGUACACACCGCCCGUCACGCCAUGGGAGUCGGUAACACCCGAAGCCUGUAGUCUAACCGCAAGGAGGACGCAGUCGAAGGUGGGAUUGAUGACUGGGGUGAAGUC
RNAcentral lists this ribosomal RNA (1459 nucleotides) under metagenome. RNAcentral's name for it is "bacterial SSU rRNA". It matches the Rfam family "Bacterial small subunit ribosomal RNA". The record is from RNAcentral.